Long non-coding RNA from Lontra canadensis (Northern American river otter), 244 nucleotides. RefSeq lists it as uncharacterized. NCBI's taxonomy places the organism in Eukaryota, Metazoa, Chordata, Mammalia, Carnivora, Mustelidae. The record is from RefSeq and is a predicted model, not a curated record. The transcript has 2 exons.
UGAAUAAAGAAUCCGCCGGGUGGAAAUGGCAGUAGAUUAGACGUUACGGAAGAGGAAGUUAGCGAGAUUGAAGGUGUACGAAGACAAACUGCAAAUGGAACAGAAGGGAUGAAAACAGGCAGCAUCAGUGAGCGGUGCGGCAGUGCCAAGCAGCUGGUGCAUGUGCUGUUAGGCCCAAAGAGCAGGGAUUGCUGAAGACCGAAAAGACGCCUACAGCGUGGGAGAAAACGACGUCUCAUGUCAC